AACCCCUUUAAUAUGGCAGGAACCAGGGGCGUAGCUAAAGGCUCAUGGGCCCUGGUGCAAGAGUUCAGCUUGGGCCCCCUUUCCCUCAGUGCUUUGUGGCCAGGGGCAGGGAAGCACAUUGCCUUCAAACUGCCUGAGGCAGAAAUUGAAACAGCAUCCCCCAUGCCAA
This is a long non-coding RNA of Bufo bufo (common toad), 169 nucleotides long. RefSeq lists it as uncharacterized. NCBI's taxonomy places the organism in Eukaryota, Metazoa, Chordata, Amphibia, Anura, Bufonidae. The record is from RefSeq and is a predicted model, not a curated record. The transcript is spliced from 3 exons.